This 119-nucleotide ribosomal RNA is filed under the name Anopheles funestus (African malaria mosquito). Lineage: Eukaryota; Metazoa; Arthropoda; Insecta; Diptera; Culicidae. The record is from RNAcentral.
GUCAACGACCAUACAUGUUGAACACACCGGUUCUCGUCCGAUCACCGAAGUUAAGUCAACAUCGGGCAAUGGCUAGUACUUAGGUGGGUGACCACUUGGAAAACCAUGUGUCGUUGGCA